Long non-coding RNA from Ipomoea nil (Japanese morning glory), 339 nucleotides. RefSeq lists it as uncharacterized. Lineage: Eukaryota; Viridiplantae; Streptophyta; Magnoliopsida; Solanales; Convolvulaceae. The record is from RefSeq and is a predicted model, not a curated record. The transcript has 3 exons.
CCCACCAUGCUCACAGGGUGUCAUCUGGACAGUAACCAAAGAGGUAAAGACAGUAUCACAGGAACAGAUAAACUUAUUAAAGGAAGCUGUUGAUGAUGGUUAUGAGGAAAAUGCAAGGCCACUGCAACCACUGAAUGGAAGGACAGUAUAUCUCAAUCAACCAUAGGAACGUUGUUGCCGGUGCUGUUUAGGAAGUAUAUGUAUUGAGGGAGCUGAGUGAUUGCCCACCAUUAAACUGAAUAUACAAAUCAUUUUCAAACAUAAUAAUUUCAAUACAUUAUGUUUAAUAAUUAUAUAUUUGUAUAUGAUUCAUGAUAAUGUAAUUAAAUUUUUGGUCAA